Molecule: ribosomal RNA, 253 nt
Filed under: uncultured bacterium
Lineage: Bacteria
Description: partial 16S ribosomal RNA
Rfam family: Bacterial small subunit ribosomal RNA
Source: RNAcentral
UACGUGGGGUGCAAGCGUUGUCCGGAAUUACUGGGCGUAAAGGGCUCGUAGGCGGCCAACUAAGUCAGACGUGAAAUCCCUCGGCUUAACCGGGGAACUGCGUCUGAUACUGGAUGGCUUGAGUUCGGGAGAGGGAUGCGGAAUUCCAGGUGUAGCGGUGAAAUGCGUAGAUAUCAGGAGGAACACCGGCGGUGUAGACGGCUUACUGGACCAUGACUGACGCUGAGGCACGAAAGCGUGGGGAGCAAACAGG